GAUGAAGAACGCAGCGAAAUGCGAUACUUGGUGUGAAUUGCAGAAUCCCGUGAACCAUCGAGUCUUUGAACGCAAGUUGCGCCCGAAGCCAUUAGGCCGAGGGCACGCCUGCCUGGGCGUCACACGUCGUUGCCCCCCCAUCUACUCCUUCGGGAUUGCGGGGGGCGGAUGAUGGUCUCCCGUGCGCCUCGUCGCGCGGUUGGCAUAAAUGCCAAGUCCUCGGCGACGCACGCCACGACAAUCGGUGGUUGCGAAACCUCGGUUGCCCGUCGUGUGCGGUCGUCGCGCAUCGAGGGCUCGAAAAAAUUGCCGGGCUCCGGCUCGGCUUUCAACGCGACCCCAGGUCAGGCGGGGUUACCCGCUGAAUUUAAGCAUAUCAAUAAGCGGAGGA
This 391-nucleotide unclassified non-coding RNA is filed under the name soil metagenome. Its description in RNAcentral is "partial contains 5.8S ribosomal RNA, internal transcribed spacer 2, and large subunit ribosomal RNA". The stretch from base 1 to 122 matches the Rfam family "5.8S ribosomal RNA", at positions 35 to 154 of the family's 154-position model. The record is from RNAcentral.